RNAcentral lists this ribosomal RNA (253 nucleotides) under uncultured bacterium. RNAcentral describes it as "partial 16S ribosomal RNA". It matches the Rfam family "Bacterial small subunit ribosomal RNA", at positions 524 to 776 of the family's 1533-position model. The record is from RNAcentral.
UACGUAGGGCGCAAGCGUUAUCCGGAAUUAUUGGGCGUAAAGAGCUCGUAGGCGGUUUGUCGCGUCUGCCGUGAAAGUCCGGGGCUCAACUCCGGAUCUGCGGUGGGUACGGGCAGACUAGAGUGAUGUAGGGGAGACUGGAAUUCCUGGUGUAGCGGUGAAAUGCGCAGAUAUCAGGAGGAACACCGAUGGCGAAGGCGGGUCUCUGGGCCGUAACUGACGCUGAGGAGCGAAAGCGUGGGGAGCGAACAGG